RNAcentral lists this ribosomal RNA (253 nucleotides) under uncultured bacterium. RNAcentral's name for it is "partial 16S ribosomal RNA". It matches the Rfam family "Bacterial small subunit ribosomal RNA", at positions 524 to 776 of the family's 1533-position model. The record is from RNAcentral.
UACAGAGGUGGCAAGCGUUGUUCGGAAUUACUGGGCGUAAAGGGCGCGUAGGCGGCCAUCUAAGUCAGACGUGAAAUCCCCCGGCUUAACCUGGGAACUGCGUCUGAUACUGGAAGGCUUGAGUUUGGGAGAGGGAUGCAGAAUUCCAGGUGUAGCGGUGAAAUGCGUAGAUAUCUGGAGGAAUACCGGUGGCGAAGGCGGCAUCCUGGACUAACACUGACGCUGAGGCGCGAAAGCUAGGGGAGCAAACGGG